RNAcentral lists this ribosomal RNA (198 nucleotides) under uncultured bacterium. RNAcentral describes it as "partial 16S ribosomal RNA". It matches the Rfam family "Bacterial small subunit ribosomal RNA", at positions 328 to 539 of the family's 1533-position model. The record is from RNAcentral.
ACGCUCGACACCUACGGGGGCAGCAGUGGGGAAUAUUGCACAAUGGGGGAAACCCUGAUGCAGCGACGCCGCGUGAGCGAAGAAGUAUCUCGGUAUGUAAAGCUCUAUCAGCAGGGAAGAAAAUGACGGUACCUGACUAAGAAGCACCGGCUAAAUACGUGCCAGCAGCCGUCGGUAAUCUGAGCGGGCUGGCAAGGC